AGAGUUUGAUCCUGGCUCAGAUUGAACGCUGGCGGCAUGCUUUACACAUGCAAGUCGAACGGUAACGCGGGGGCAACCCUGGCGACGAGUGGCGAACGGGUGAGUAAUACAUCGGAACAUGUCCUGGAGUGGGGGAUAGCUCGGCGAAAGCCGGAUUAAUACCGCAUACGCUCUGAGGAGGAAAGCGGGGGACUCGCAAGGGCCUCGCGCUGCAGGAGUGGCCGAUGUCGGAUUAGCUAGUUGGUGAGGUAAAGGCUCACCAAGGCGACGAUCCGUAGCUGGUCUGAGAGGAUGAUCAGCCACACUGGGACUGAGACACGGCCCAGACUCCUACGGGAGGCAGCAGUGGGGAAUUUUGGACAAUGGGGGCAACCCUGAUCCAGCCAUGCCGCGUGAGUGAAGAAGGCCUUCGGGUUGUAAAGCUCUUUCGGACGGAACGAAAUGGUUACAGUGAAUAACUGUGAUUGAUGACGGUACCGUAAGAAGAAGCACCGGCUAACUACGUGCCAGCAGCCGCGGUAAUACGUAGGGUGCGAGCGUUAAUCGGAAUUACUGGGCGUAAAGCGUGCGCAGGCGGUUCGCCAAGUCAGGUGUGAAAUCCCCGGGCUUAACCUGGGAAUUGCGCUUGAAACUAGCGGGCUUGAGUGUGGCAGAGGGGGGUGGAAUUCCACGUGUAGCAGUGAAAUGCGUAGAGAUGUGGAGGAACACCGAUGGCGA
This 717-nucleotide ribosomal RNA is filed under the name uncultured bacterium. Its description in RNAcentral is "bacterial SSU rRNA". It matches the Rfam family "Bacterial small subunit ribosomal RNA", at positions 8 to 718 of the family's 1533-position model. The record is from RNAcentral.